GGAACUACGAGCCAUGCUUAAAACCCAAAGGACUUGGCGGUGUCCUAUCCAACUAGAGGAGCCUGUUCUGUAACCGAUACUCCCCGUUAUACCUAACCAUUUUUCGCUAUCAGCCUGUAUACCUCCGUCGAAAGCCAACCAUGUGAACGCUAUAGUAGGCCCAAUGAUCACACAUCAGCACGUCAGGUCAAGGUGCAGCUAAUGAAAUGGAAGAAAUGGGCUACAAUUUCUAACAUAGAACAAACGAAAUACCAUGUGAAACCAUGGUUACGAAGGUGGAUUUAGCAGUAAAGAGAAAAUAGAGUGUCCUCUUUAACUGGGCCCUAGGACAUGUACAU
This 338-nucleotide ribosomal RNA is filed under the name Amolops sp. MJJ-NEP01. RNAcentral's name for it is "partial small subunit ribosomal RNA". It matches the Rfam family "Bacterial small subunit ribosomal RNA", at positions 876 to 1387 of the family's 1533-position model. Lineage: Eukaryota; Metazoa; Chordata; Amphibia; Anura; Ranidae. The record is from RNAcentral.